This 542-nucleotide ribosomal RNA is filed under the name Pichia deserticola. RNAcentral describes it as "partial small subunit ribosomal RNA". It matches the Rfam family "Bacterial small subunit ribosomal RNA", at positions 359 to 950 of the family's 1533-position model. The record is from RNAcentral. Lineage: Eukaryota; Fungi; Ascomycota; Pichiomycetes; Pichiales; Pichiaceae.
GAAUAUUAGUCAAUGAUUGAAAGAUUGAUCUAGUUACUUAGAAAGAUGAAGAUUAUAAUAAAAAUAAUAAAUAAAUAAAAAAAUAAUAAUGAAGAAUAUAAAAUCAAUGUAUAUAUAAAAGAAUAAUGAUGAUUAUAUAUAUAGAAGUCUUAACCAAAAUUAGUGCCAGCAGUUGCGGCUAAACUAAGGAGGCUAACGUUAAUCAUUAAUGGCUUAAAGGAUCCGUAGAAUGAUAUGUAAAAAUACAUAUUAGAGUUAAAUUGAAUAAUUAUGAAAAAUUAUAUUGAGAGAUGAAAUGUGUGGAAAAUAAUUAGACAAAUAAACGUGAAGAUAAAAUUAAAAAUUUAACUGACAUUGAUGGAUGAAGGCAUGAUUAGCAAAACGGAUUAGAUACCCGAGUAGUUCAUGCAGUAAACGAUGAAUACUAUAAAAUAAAAAAAUAAGCGAAAGCUUAAGUAUUCCGCCAGGAGAGUAUAGCUUCAAAGUUGAAAUCCAAGACAAUAGACGGUUACAGUUGUAGGCAGUGGAUUGUGUUAUUUAAU